AUUAUAAUGGAGUUUUAAAAAUUCGUUAUAAUAUCUCCUCCUUUCUAAACUUUAAGAUUUUCCUAAUUUCGUUUCAACGUUUUCUCGUUUCGUUCCUCUCCCGCUAUUCGUGACUAAAGCCUCUUCCUUCGUUCCUCCUUUCGUUCCUCAUUUCAUUUCAACGUUCCCUAAUUCCGCAUCAACACCAUGUAUCUCUAAUUUUUCGACACUCUCACACCACGCAUUUCUAAUUUNUCGGCACUCCUCCCUCUGAACACUCCGAGAACACUCCCUCGGUGGUUGUGGUUUAGGCUAUAGAGAGAAGAAGAGCUAGGUCAGGGGAAGACGUGUUCUUCGAUAUCUCCGCGCGAACUAAAAGCANUGUGGUUGUGNUUCUUUUUAUCUUCUUCUGCAUUGGAANGAACCCUAAUCCAUCCCUUAUCGAUCGGAAUCAAUGGAGGGAAUGUUGUCCGCGAACGAGCAGCAGAGCAUGGUGUCUUCGUUCCUUGAGGUGGCUCAGGGACAGACUACCGAGACUGUGCGCCAGUUCCUCCAGGCCUCUUAUCCGAAUUAUAGGUGAUCGAUUCCCAUGGCAAGUGAAGAGUGCCAUCUUGUCUACUCUAACAUCGAUGAUAAAAAAGGGUGGAAUCUCCCUGAAGCCUUUUCUUCCUCAGCUGCAAACAACAUUUGUCAAGUGUCUACAGGAUUCUACAAGUUCCCUCUUCGAGAAGUUUCAACCAAGGCAUUGGGAAGGCUGCUUCUUUAUAGAGCUCAAAUAGAUCCUUCUGAUACAAUGCUUUAAAUAGAUGUUCUUUCACUGCUAAUUUUAUCCACCCGUGAUGACUCCAGUGAAGUUAGGAGAAGGGCAUUAUCUGCCAUAAAAGCUGUUGCUAAGGUAAAUCCAUCGGCCAUUUUGUCACAAGGCACCAUAGUUGGUCCUGCACUAGCGGAGUGUUUGAAAGAUGCGAAUACCCCAGUUAGACUUGCUGCAGAACGAUGUGCGCUGCAUGCCUUCCAACUAGCAAAGGGUCUUUGGAAACUCAUUCAAGGUUGGGGACAUUCCAUCUGUAUCUAGGAAGAAGAUGCAAAUAGUGAUACCUAAUUGUCGACAUCAAUUGGGCAGCUAUGAGUGUGGGUAUUACGUAAUGAAGCACAUGCACACCAUUAUUUGUACAAACAUUACUGAUUCAUGGGAUAAGAUCUUUGAUGAUUCAUCUCCAAUGGAAGCUCCAGAUAUUGAAGACAUUAGAAAUAAGUGGGCUUCUUUUAUUUUAAGUGUUAUUUGGAUUUAAUAUGACUAUAAUGUAGUGUAGGUUGAUGUUAUUUGGAUUUAAUAUGAUUUACAAAUUAUGUAUUAGAUAUUAUUGAACAAUUUAAUGUUUGAAAUGGAUUUCACAUUAUGUUAGUUUAA
Long non-coding RNA from Vigna radiata var. radiata (mung bean), 1390 nucleotides. RefSeq lists it as uncharacterized. The transcript is spliced from 7 exons. Lineage: Eukaryota; Viridiplantae; Streptophyta; Magnoliopsida; Fabales; Fabaceae. The record is from RefSeq and is a predicted model, not a curated record.